AUGAGAAGCAUCAUUCAGAGGGAGACAAGGAGGAUUCAGAGGGAGGUGAGAAGCAGCCUGCAGAUGGAGACUAUGCUUGCUUUUUUCAUGAGAUCGGCAAAAAGGCGUAUGGUUCUUUUGUCUGAUGGCUCUGAGCAAAUUGGAAAAGCAUCUUUGGGAUUUGAGUUGUCAUCUGAUACAAAGCUUAUCAAACUUACACUUGAUGAUGUGUUGAGGCCUGGUUUAAAGGGACUUCUGUCUAUUCCCGUCUCCUCCCAGAGCUCAUCGAAGGUGGACCUUCAGUAUCGUCAUCUUGGUGCUUGUAUAACUGGAAGUUCUGAGCUUCAGGGAUCGCCAAUUGUUUCGUUUUCUGCUGUGAUUGGCACGAAAAGCAUUGCUUUAGGUGCCGAUGUUUCGGUCAUCACAAAGUCCCUCGAUGCUUUGGGUGCGGUUGAUUCGCUUGAAACCAAGCUCCUGCGGUUUCCUAAGUACACCUGUGGUUUGGUUUUAUCGGAAGGAGAUGUGGGUGCUUCUUUCACAAUGGAAAAUGCCGACGUUCUCACAGCAACUUAUCAUCAUAAGUUAGACGAGACGACGUCCAUUGCUGCCAAGGUGCAGCGUGUUCUGUCUUCGAACGACAGCACUCUUACAGCGGGUUUCUCUCAUUCUCUGGAUCCGAACACAACGGUGAAGGCCAAGCUUAGCAGUGAUGGAGCGGUGGGUGUCCUGCUCCGAUACGGCCCCAAGCCCAAGUGCUACGUCGCCUUCUCCGCCGAGUCCAAUUCCCAAGCGCCUCAAAAGGAUACCAAAUUUGGUCUUUGUGUUGCUCUAGGGGCGUGA
RNAcentral lists this ribosomal RNA (819 nucleotides) under Triticum aestivum (bread wheat). Its description in RNAcentral is "partial small subunit ribosomal RNA". The record is from RNAcentral. Lineage: Eukaryota; Viridiplantae; Streptophyta; Magnoliopsida; Poales; Poaceae.